This is a small nucleolar RNA of 155 nucleotides. Its record names the gene U3. It matches the Rfam family "Small nucleolar RNA U3". From Rfam's summary of the family: Small nucleolar RNAs (snoRNAs) are involved in the processing and modification of rRNA in the nucleolus. There are two main classes of snoRNAs: the box C/D class, and the box H/ACA class. The record is from Ensembl.
AAGCAAAUACUUCAGGCAAACACCCUGUGUUCAGUCUCGCAAAUCACGAUGAUGAGCGUGAAUCAGGCAGAGUGUGAGGUAUCUAUCUCCCGCUUUGUCAUUGAUGACCGUUCCUCUUUUUUCUUUGGAGAACAGGGGGAGAGUUGUGAAGUGAU